Unclassified non-coding RNA from Macaca fascicularis (crab-eating macaque), 148 nucleotides. It matches the Rfam family "Metazoan signal recognition particle RNA". From Rfam's summary of the family: The signal recognition particle (SRP) is a universally conserved ribonucleoprotein. It is involved in the co-translational targeting of proteins to membranes. The record is from Ensembl. Lineage: Eukaryota; Metazoa; Chordata; Mammalia; Primates; Cercopithecidae.
GCUGGGCACGGUCGCGCGUGCCUGUAAUCCCAGCUACUCGGGAGACUGAGGCAGAAGAAUCGCUUGAACCCAGGAGGUGGAGGUUGCAGUGAGUCGGGAUCGUGCCACUGCACUCUAGCCUGGGUGACAGAGUGAGACUCUGUCUCAA